This 496-nucleotide ribosomal RNA is filed under the name uncultured bacterium. RNAcentral describes it as "partial 16S ribosomal RNA". It matches the Rfam family "Bacterial small subunit ribosomal RNA", at positions 29 to 507 of the family's 1533-position model. The record is from RNAcentral.
AUGAACGCUGGCGGCGUGCCUCAUACAUGCAAGUCGAGCGAACAGAUGAGGAGCUUGCUCCUCUGGCGUUAGCGGCGGACGGGUGAGUAACACGUGGAUAACCUACCUAUAAGACUGGGAUAACUUCGGGAAACCGGAGCUAAUACCGGAUAAUAUAUUGAACCGCAUGGUUCAAUAGUGAAAGACGGUUUUGCUGUCACUUAUAGAUGGAUCCGCGCCGCAUUAGCUAGUUGGUAAGGUAACGGCUUACCAAGGCAACGAUGCGUAGCCGACCUGAGAGGGUGAUCGGCCACACUGGAACUGAGACACGGUCCAGACUCCUACGGGAGGCAGCAGUAGGGAAUCUUCCGCAAUGGGCGAAAGCCUGACGGAGCAACGCCGCGUGAGUGAUGAAGGUCUUCGGAUCGUAAAACUCUGUUAUUAGGGAAGAACAAAUGUGUAAGUAACUAUGCACGUCUUGACGGUACCUAAUCAGAAAGCCACGGCUAACUACGUG